GACGUAGGGCGCGAGCGUUGUCCGGAUUUAUUGGGCGUAAAGAGCUCGUAGGCGGCUCGUUGCGUCGGCUGUGAAAACCCGCAGCUCAACUGUGGGCUUGCAGCUGAUACGGGCGGGCUGGGAUUCGGUAGGGGAGACUGGAAUUCCUGGUGUAGCGGUGAAAUGCGCAGAUAUCAGGAGGAACACCGGUGGCGAAGGCGGGACUCUGGACCGAUAUCGACGCUGAGGAGCGAAAGCGUGGGGAGCGAACAGG
This 253-nucleotide ribosomal RNA is filed under the name uncultured bacterium. RNAcentral describes it as "partial 16S ribosomal RNA". It matches the Rfam family "Bacterial small subunit ribosomal RNA", at positions 524 to 776 of the family's 1533-position model. The record is from RNAcentral.